This 560-nucleotide ribosomal RNA is filed under the name uncultured Burkholderia sp. Its description in RNAcentral is "bacterial SSU rRNA". It matches the Rfam family "Bacterial small subunit ribosomal RNA", at positions 92 to 647 of the family's 1533-position model. The record is from RNAcentral. Lineage: Bacteria; Pseudomonadati; Pseudomonadota; Betaproteobacteria; Burkholderiales; Burkholderiaceae.
CGAGUGGCGAACGGGUGAGUAAUACAUACGGAACAUGUCCUGUAGUGGGGGAUAGCCCGGCGAAAGCCGGAUUAAUACCGCAUACGAUCUACGGAUGAAAGCGGGGGACCUUCGGGCCUCGCGCUAUAGGGUUGGCCGAUGGCUGAUUAGCUAGUUGGUGGGGUAAAGGCCUACCAAGGCGACGAUCAGUAGCUGGUCUGAGAGGACGACCAGCCACACUGGGACUGAGACACGGCCCAGACUCCUACGGGAGGCAGCAGUGGGGAAUUUUGGACAAUGGGCGAAAGCCUGAUCCAGCAAUGCCGCGUGUGUGAAGAAGGCCUUCGGGUUGUAAAGCACUUUUGUCCGGAAAGAAAUCCUUGGCUCUAAUACAGUCGGGGGAUGACGGUACCGGAAGAAUAAGCACCGGCUAACUACGUGCCAGCAGCCGCGGUAAUACGUAGGGUGCGAGCGUUAAUCGGAAUUACUGGGCGUAAAGCGUGCGCAGGCGGUUUGCUAAGACCGAUGUGAAAUCCCCGGGCUCAACCUGGGAACUGCAUUGGUGACUGGCAGGCUAGAGU